RNAcentral lists this ribosomal RNA (500 nucleotides) under uncultured Glomeromycotina. Its description in RNAcentral is "partial small subunit ribosomal RNA". It matches the Rfam family "Eukaryotic small subunit ribosomal RNA", at positions 591 to 1092 of the family's 1831-position model. The record is from RNAcentral. Lineage: Eukaryota; Fungi; Glomeromycota.
CCAAUAGCGUAUAUUAAAGUUGUUGCAGUUAAAAAGCUCGUAGUUGAAUUUCGGGAUUAGUACGCUGGUCGUGCCUUCGGUAUGUACUGGUGUUACUGAUUCCUACCUUCUGACGAAUCGUCAUGUCAUUAAUUUGGUGUGGCGGGGAAUCAGGACUGUUACUUUGAAAAAAUUAGAGUGUUUAAAGCAGGCUCGCGCUUGAAUACAUUAGCAUGGAAUAAUGAAAUAGGACGUUUGAUCCUAUUUUGUUGGUUUCUAGGAUUGACGUAAUGAUUAAUAGGGAUAGUUGGGGGCAUUAGUAUUCAAUUGUCAGAGGUGAAAUUCUUGGAUUUAUUGAAGACUAACUACUGCGAAAGCAUUUGCCAAGGAUGUUUUCAUUAAUCAAGAACGAAAGUUAGGGGAUCGAAGACGAUCAGAUACCGUCGUAGUCUUAACCAUAAACUAUGCCGACUAGGGAUCGGAUGAUGUUAAUUUUUUAAUGACUCAUUCGGCGCCUUACG